This 249-nucleotide unclassified non-coding RNA is filed under the name uncultured fungus. RNAcentral describes it as "partial contains 5.8S ribosomal RNA, internal transcribed spacer 2, and large subunit ribosomal RNA". The record is from RNAcentral. Lineage: Eukaryota; Fungi.
AACGCACAUUGCGCCCCUUGGUAUUCCAUGGGGCAUGCCUGUUCGAGCGUCAUUUGUACCUUCAAGCUCUGCUUGGUGUUGGGUGUUUGUCCUCUCCCUGCGAUUGGACUCGCCUUAAAGUCAUUGGCAGCCAGUGUUUUGGUUUUGAAGCGCAGCACAAGUCGCGAUUCAAGCCGGUAGCACCCGCUUCCAUCAAGCCUUUUUAUCACUUUUGACCUCGGAUCAGGUAGGGAUACCCGCUGAACUUAA